GUGGGUUCUCUGGGAUGUUUUCUCCAGGAGCUGGGGUCAGAAGGUGAAAGGUUCUUCUGUGGCGUAUAUACAGUACGGUACUGUUUAAGCGCGUGACCAUCACCACCGCCGCCUCUUUUCCCUUCUCGCGCACAAUUCUGGCCGCGAUGGACCGGCGGCCCCCGCAGUUAAUCCGGAGCGGAGGAGAAAGUGCGCGAGCUCACCGGAAACGGGCGAGGAUGCACCUGAUCCACUAGACAGGACGCCGCGAUUGUUUCAUCCAUACGGAAACUUUAAAGCUGUGGCGCGCGCCGACACGGAGCUCCGUUUCUCGUUACGUGUUUUAAACCGGCUCGGGUUUAACGCGUGGACGCAAAAAAAAAAUGUCGCGGGAGAAGAUUCCGUACAGUUUGCCUCGAGCGCGCAAGCUCUAGUGGAGGACGCACGCGUCGCGCUCGGGAGCUUC
Ictalurus punctatus (channel catfish) is the source of this 445-nucleotide long non-coding RNA. The record is from Ensembl. NCBI's taxonomy places the organism in Eukaryota, Metazoa, Chordata, Actinopteri, Siluriformes, Ictaluridae.